CCCUUACCUCUCAUAGCUCCCACCAGAGUGAGUGAGCUCAGAUGCUUAUGGAAGGCUUGCCCCAAGACUUGAAACUGCACUCCCUUCAACUGGACCUGGCUGGGCUCUUCUGGGAAGGACUGAACGAUCACUCUGGCUCCCAUAUCCCUGGAUCCUAGCAUCUUCUCACUCAUGGAAUACAAACAGUGCUGCAGAUUACCUGAAAU
RNAcentral lists this long non-coding RNA (206 nucleotides) under Homo sapiens (human). RNAcentral describes it as "HSALNT0107157". The record is from RNAcentral. Lineage: Eukaryota; Metazoa; Chordata; Mammalia; Primates; Hominidae.